UGCAGAAUCCCGUGAAUCAUCGAGUUUUUGAACGCAAGUUGCGCCCGAAGCCUUUCGGCCAAGGGCACGCCUGCCUGGGUGUCACGCAUACGUCGCCCCAUCCUCUCGACACCUCGGGAGUCAUGGGAGCAGAAGUUGGCCUCCUGUGUGCCUUGCGCAUGUGGUUGGCCCAAAAUGCAUGUUCGCGGCAAAUGAUAGCCAUGACGAUCGGUGGUUGUAAAGACCCUCUGAAAAAGUCGUGCGCUGUUCUUAGACGUCGGGACAUUCCUUGACCCUAGGGCGUCCUCAGGGCGCGCUCCGACCGCGACCCCAGGUCAGGCGGGACUACCCGCUGAGUUUAAGCAUAUCAAUAAGCGGAGGAAAAGAAACUUAUCAGGAUUCCCUUAGUAACGGCGAGCGAACCGGGAAUAGCCCAGCUUGAGAAUCGGGCGCCUUCGGCGACCGA
Molecule: ribosomal RNA, 445 nt
Filed under: Mercurialis annua (annual mercury)
Lineage: Eukaryota; Viridiplantae; Streptophyta; Magnoliopsida; Malpighiales; Euphorbiaceae
Description: eukaryotic LSU rRNA
Rfam family: Eukaryotic large subunit ribosomal RNA (bases 305-445)
Source: RNAcentral